Molecule: long non-coding RNA, 544 nt
Organism: Anthonomus grandis grandis
Lineage: Eukaryota; Metazoa; Arthropoda; Insecta; Coleoptera; Curculionidae
Exons: 2
Source: RefSeq, a predicted model, not a curated record
UCCGUGUUAGUAAACAUUUAUCAUAUUCCGUUUAAGCUACUAAGAAAGCACCGACCCAAUUGUUUAUAACCCUGACUAACCUCCGUAUGUAAUUAACAUAAAUAAAAAAAAAAACAAUUUACAAUCCGGGGAAACACAUUAUUCACAAACACUUCCUAUAAAAGCUUUGACUGAACCGAGCGAACAGUUUACUAAGGUUGGUAGGUCAGCAGAUAAAAAUUCAAUUUUUUUUUAAUGGUUGCCAAUAUGAAGUACUUUAUUGCGUUGGUUUGUUCCUUAAUUUGUUUCAAUAUUUUUUUAAUUGGAAUCAAUGGGUCACCAGUGCCUGAAAAUCAACGAGUGGGUAAGCCUACCAUAGUGGAUCCCAAUAAUCCUCCUUGUCAUUUGGUUUGCAUAUCAAAAAGGGUUAUGCCAUUUCCGAAUGAAAAGAAUUGCCGUUGUAAUUCGUUACUUAGGACAGGGUGAUUGUGCUUUUUUAAAUUUUGUAUUGAAUAUUUUUGUCAAACCAUGAAUAAACUGCCUUAAUAUGUGGCGUUUUUGUGUA